Molecule: ribosomal RNA, 261 nt
Filed under: Triticum aestivum (bread wheat)
Lineage: Eukaryota; Viridiplantae; Streptophyta; Magnoliopsida; Poales; Poaceae
Description: partial small subunit ribosomal RNA
Source: RNAcentral
GGCUGCAAUCGUCUUGUUGUUAACUCUAACAAUAUGGUGGUGGUUGAAAUAAUGAAGAAUGGAGGACAUUCGGUAAGAGCUGCAGCAGCAGUGUUCGACGACUGCUACUUCAUAGCUUGUGAUUUCCCUCUUAUUAGGUUUCAUUGUAAUAGGGACACAAAUAAUGUGGCUCAUGAAAUUACUAGGCUAACGAAAUUCUCGGUCACUAAGGACUGGUUUGAGGAUCCUGUGAGAUACAUUGAUUUACUUAUUGUCAUGUAA